This is a long non-coding RNA of Dicentrarchus labrax (European seabass), 1348 nucleotides long. RefSeq lists it as uncharacterized. NCBI's taxonomy places the organism in Eukaryota, Metazoa, Chordata, Actinopteri, Moronidae. The transcript is spliced from 2 exons. The record is from RefSeq and is a predicted model, not a curated record.
UCAAUUAUCUAAAUUACAAACAUGUCUUAAGGACAUAAAAUCCUGGAUGACCUGCAAUUUUCUGAUGUUAAACUCAGAAAAAAACAAAAUUCUUGUUCUUGGCCCCAAAAACCUUAGAGACUCAUUGUCUAAAGAUAUAGUCACUCUAGAUGGCAUUAACUUGGCCUCUAGCACCACUGUCAGGAAUCUUGGAGUUAUCUUUGAUCAGGAUUUGUCAUUUAACUCCCACAUGAAGCAGACCUCUAGGACUGCCUUCUUUCAUUUACGUAAUAUUACAAAAAUUAGACACAUCCUAUCACAGACAGAUGCAGAAAAACUAAUCCAUGCAUUUGUUACUUCAAGGCUGGAUUACUGCAACUCUUUAUUAUCAGGUUGCCCCAAUAAGUCCAUUAAAACGCUCCAAUUAAUUCAGAACGCUGCAGCACGAGUACUGACAGGAACUAGAAAAAGAGAUCACAUCUCUCCUGUACUAGCUUCUCUGCAUUGGCUCCCUGUAAAAUGUAGAAUUGAAUUUAAAAUCCUCCUCCUCACCUAUAAAGCUCUUCAUGGUCAGGCCCCUUCAUAUCUUAAAGAGCUCAUAGUACCCUAUUACCCCACUAGAACACUACGUUCUCUGAAUGCUGGGCUACUUGUGGUUCCUAUAGUCUCUAAAAGUAGAACAGGAGCCAGAGCCUUCAGUUACCAAGCUCCUCUCCUGUGGAACCAGCUUCCAGUUGUGGUUCGGGAGGCAGACACCCUCACCACAUUCAAGAGUAGGCUUAAGACAUUCCUCUUUGAUAAAGCUUAUAGUUAGGGCUGGAUCAGGUGAGUCCUGAACCAUCCCUUAGUCAUGCUGCUAUAGGCCUAGACUAUCGGGGGAUUUCCCAUGGUGCACUGAGCUACUCUCUUCCUCUCUCUUUCUGCACUCAUUCAUGUCCCUUUAAUGCAUGUUACUAACUCCACUUCUUCCCCGGAGUUCUUGUGCUUUCUCGUCUCGCAGGUUCUCAUGGAUCCUGGUGGAGCCUCCUGCCAUGGUCCUGCUAGAUUGCCAUUGCCAAUACUGUUGUUGCUGUGCACCUGUCUGUCUGUCUGUCUGUCUGUCUCUCUCUCUCUCUCUCUCUCUCUCACCCCAACUGGUCGAGACAGACGACCACCCACCUAGAGCCGAAGGAUCUGUCCUAGGUUUCUGCCUUUUAACAGGCAGUUUUUCCUUGCCCUUGUCUCCAAGGUCUUGCUCAUGGUGGUACUGUUGGGUCUCUGUAAUUAAUGUUUUAAAGAGUUCGGUCUAGACCUGCUCUAUUUGAAAAGUGUCCUGAGAUAACUUCUGUUAUGAAUUGGCCCUAUACAAAUAAAACUGAAUUGAAUUGAA